Molecule: non-coding RNA, 1075 nt
Organism: Salvelinus sp. IW2-2015
Lineage: Eukaryota; Metazoa; Chordata; Actinopteri; Salmoniformes; Salmonidae
Source: RefSeq, a predicted model, not a curated record
UAUGCUUUUUAUGGCUUUGGCCAUUAUGUCUGUUAUGUCUUAGUUUCCUGUUUUUACCAGAAUGGCAAAUGCACUCACGUGUUGCCUUCUCCUCCUUCUCCUCCUAUAUUCUAAUGUACACCUGUCUUUUGCUCAAUAGUGUGAUAUCUGUCUCUAUAUGUCUAAGUACUAACUCCUACAAAUCCUGUCAGAAGACGCAUGCUGAACCCCCUCUAGUGAAUGGACACCAUGAUGUCAGGGUUAACGAUGAGACUAAGGAAGUGACUUCUGGUGCACAGAGUCCAGGACCUCCUCAGAUGAAUGGAGGACCUCCCAUGUCUAACAGAGCUGCAGAGGAGACCACUGCUCUAUUGGACAAACAGCCUUGGACAAGGACCAAGUCACCAAACCUCCUGAGUUAAUAGACAAAGGAACUAAUGACAUGGAGUCAAGAAGAGGAGAACUGUAACAAACGGUAGACGUUUGUAUAGCAAAAGAAAACCUAAUAAGAUAUAAGAUACAGUAAUAUAUGUAUACAGUACUUAUUAUAAGAUACACAUUUGUGACUUGCUUAAUCAUAAUUAGUCUUGUCAACCCCAAGAACAUAAUCUUAGCAGUGUUUAACUGAACAGUGAUUUUCAGAAACCUCAACAGUUUAUUAAGUUAAUUCUCUAUGUGACAGCUGUAAUCUGGAUAGGUUAGGGAACGUGUUCAGUUGAAAUUCCAAAACAGCCCAAGACUUGUAGAAUUAUUAUUAUCUACAUUUUGUAUGACUCUUAUCUGAAAAUGAGUGUGACUUAUGACUGAUUAUGGUACAGCAUUUAAAAUCUUAGCUAAACAACAUUAUAAUGAUAUGAAGGUAAGUUAAGAUCAUACUUACACUAGUAUUGUAUACUAUUCAUACAAGCAAAUAUAUAUCACAUACACAUGAGUACCGUAAUUUCCGGACUAUAAGCCGCUACUUUUUUUUACCACGCUAUGAACCUCGGGUUUAUACAAUGACGCGGCUAAUUUAUUAUUAUUAUUUUUUUUCACAAGAUUCACGCCGCCAAAAAAUUGAGCACCGUCACAUAAUGUGACGUAAAUCGAGCGCGCU